UCUCAGUUCGGAUUGGAGUCUGCAACUCGACUCCAUGAAGCUGGAUUCGCUAGUAAUCGCGCAUCAGCCAUGGCGCGGUGAAUACGUUCCCGGGCCUUGUACACACCGCCCGUCAAGCCAUGGGAGCCGGGGGUACCUGAAGUGCGUGACCGCAAGGAGCGCCCUAAGGUAAAACCGGUGACUGGGGCUAAGUCGUAACAAGGUACC
This 207-nucleotide ribosomal RNA is filed under the name uncultured bacterium. Its description in RNAcentral is "partial 16S ribosomal RNA". It matches the Rfam family "Bacterial small subunit ribosomal RNA", at positions 1286 to 1500 of the family's 1533-position model. The record is from RNAcentral.